UUCAGUAACACUCAGUAGAAACAUGUCAAACGAUGUAUUGAUUCAAUCUUUAGAAUGUUGUUAACAUAAAUCUUGAAUAACAUUCCAACCAGAGAAUUACAUUGCUUCAGAUGAGGUGGUUUACAACUGGGAGGAGACCGGCUGGGAGGUGGUUUACCACUGGGAGGAGAGUGGCUGGGAGGUGGUUUACCACUGGGAGGAGAGUGGCUGGGAGGUGGUUUACCACUGGGAGGAGAGUGGCUGGGAGGUGGUUUACCACUGGGAGGAGAGUGGCUGGGAGGUGGUUUACCACUGGGAGGAGAGCGGCUGGGAGGUGGUUUACUACUGGGAGGAGAGCGGCGUCUGGGAGGUGGUUUACCACUGGGAGGAGAGUGGCUGGCAAGACACACACACACACACACACACACACACACACACACACACACACACACACACACACACACACACACACACACACACACACACACACACACACACACACACACACACACACACACACACACGGCACAGGCAUAUACAUAGAUUCUCCAUAAUAUAAUAUGACAUGAUUAUAAAGUACAUACGUGAUGUAUAUAUUAAUAUAAAUAUUAUAUUGGGCAAAAAAGCAUAAUAAAUUAUCAGGGUAUAUAACUAUAAUGAAGAGGUAUCCACUGUCCCGUGGGUCAUAUUCAUUAGGCACUAAACGGAAGCAAUCUGAACUGAAACAGGAUGGUACUACCUGAACUUGUCCAAUACAAAAUACUCCUUUUUCGUUUUUUUUCAGUUGCAUAACGUUUUGCUAUGGUGUGCAAUCCUGCUCUCUUCCUGUGGUUCUUCUGUGUGUUGAUGCUGGUCAUUGUGACACAAAAUGCAUUAUGAUGUGACUCUGGUCCUUGGAAUGCUGGGAAAUGUUUUUUUUUUGUUUUUUUACUACACUGUACGUCUCAAGGGAAAGUAGGGUUUGGACCGUAAUAAGGAAUCAGUGGAGUGAGAAACUUUAAAGUGUUAUCCUCUGUGCUGAUCUGAACGGUUUCCCACCCCAAUGGCAUUAUCAGCCUUUUAUUAGGCAGCUCAUAUUCCAGCAUAACUAAUGUUUUUUAUUUGUUGAUAAUGUCUUGAUAUGAUGAAAUGUGUAAAAGAAGAGAUGUGUUCUAUUAUACAUGUUUAUUUUGGAAUUAUACUGAUGGAAUAUAAUGGUG
Salvelinus namaycush (lake trout) is the source of this 1178-nucleotide long non-coding RNA. RefSeq lists it as uncharacterized. The record is from RefSeq and is a predicted model, not a curated record. NCBI's taxonomy places the organism in Eukaryota, Metazoa, Chordata, Actinopteri, Salmoniformes, Salmonidae. The transcript has 2 exons.